This is a non-coding RNA of Chiloscyllium plagiosum (whitespotted bambooshark), 285 nucleotides long. The record is from RefSeq and is a predicted model, not a curated record. Lineage: Eukaryota; Metazoa; Chordata; Chondrichthyes; Orectolobiformes; Hemiscylliidae.
CUGGAAAUGUAAGUUUCAGUUUCAUUUCCUGUGAAAGCAAAGACUGGGACAAACAACUGAUAAGAGAUCAGCAAAGGCAAAAACACAGUUUUUCAUGGCAUCACACAGUUCUGCAGCAACUGGCGAUUUGGAAAUGAACGUGAAAUUGGAAGAGAGAAGCAGUGUGUAAAAUUUAAAAUGGACCAUCAAUUGGGAAAGAGAAUGACAGGCUAUGAUCAUUUCCUGAAGUGGUAAAUGAAGGAGGCUUGAAAAUAAGAAUAUUCAUAUUUGGAUCUAAAGAGAACU